RNAcentral lists this long non-coding RNA (268 nucleotides) under Nicotiana benthamiana. RNAcentral's name for it is "long non-coding RNA (NBEN_LNC007698)". Lineage: Eukaryota; Viridiplantae; Streptophyta; Magnoliopsida; Solanales; Solanaceae. The record is from RNAcentral.
AACCUUGUUUAGAUAUGGAAGUCGAUAUCAUCAAAGGCGCAACAGGGGCGGAAUAAAUGCUCGCCAUCGUACUUCGUCAGAGAACAUAAGCUUCGUAAUUUCUUCACAAUCAAUGCCUCCGUCUAACUGGACAAUCAGCAGUGUUGGCAAGAAAAGGAGAACGAAAGAGAAUAUGAGAGCAGAGAAAAGGAAUUCUGACAAUAAUCUGCCGAUACACCGACGACAAUUUGCUCUAAAAUGGUUGGUGGAAAAGAUGGAGAUAUUGUGC